AUUGAACGCUGGCGGAAUGCUUUACACAUGCAAGUCGAACGGCAGCACGGGGCAACCUGGUGGCGAGUGGCGAACGGGUGAGUAAUACAUCGGAACGUGCCCAAUCGUGGGGGAUAACGUAGCGAAAGUUACGCUAAUACCGCAUACGAUCUACGGAUGAAAGCGGGGGAUCGCAAGACCUCGCGCGAAUGGAGCGGCCGAUGUCAGAUUAGGUAGUUGGUGGGGUAAAGGCUCACCAAGCCAACGAUCUGUAGCUGGUCUGAGAGGACGACCAGCCACACUGGAACUGAGACACGGUCCAGACUCCUACGGGAGGCAGCAGUGGGGAAUUUUGGACAAUGGGCGCAAGCCUGAUCCAGCCAUUCCGCGUGCAGGAUGAAGGCCUUCGGUUGUAACUGCUUUGUACGGUAACGAAACGGCGAGCUCUAAUACAGUUUGCUAAUGACGGUACCGCAAGAAUAAGCACCGGCUAACUACGUAGCCAGCAGCCGCGGUAAU
Molecule: ribosomal RNA, 498 nt
Filed under: uncultured bacterium
Lineage: Bacteria
Description: bacterial SSU rRNA
Rfam family: Bacterial small subunit ribosomal RNA
Source: RNAcentral